Molecule: long non-coding RNA, 449 nt
Filed under: Linum usitatissimum (flax)
Lineage: Eukaryota; Viridiplantae; Streptophyta; Magnoliopsida; Malpighiales; Linaceae
Description: long non-coding RNA (LUSI_LNC007394)
Source: RNAcentral
UGAUUUCCAAGCCCUCCACCACAAGAAAAUAAGUUAUAAUGCCGAUGUUGGGUCCGUCUUAUGAAUACGUCGCCAGCUUGAGAUGGGAUGAGAAACUUGACUGAGUAUAAUUCCACAACCUGUAGUGUCGGCUAACAUUACAAUAGCAGGACAAGAAACAAAUAAAUGAGAAGAAGACUCAUUGGUUAAUCCACAGACGGGGCACAAAGGUGAAACAUCCACAUUACGGGACAACAAUGCCUCGCAAAGCAGUAGUGCUCAUGAGAACAGUUUCCAAACAAAAAAGAUUAACUUGGGUUGGAUAGGCAGCGACCAGACAGACGCUGAAAAUGAUGAGUCAACAAGAAGAGGACCCGACUUCACAAUUGUUGCUUGAUUCCGCAAAGAAUGACUUAAUCUGUAUCCAGAGGAGGCCUUACAAAUUCCAGUACGACAAUGUAUCCAAAUCC